AACGCACCUUGCGCUCCUUGGUAUUCCGAGGAGCAUGCCCGUUUGAGUGUCGCGAUAUCAUCCGGUCCGCAUUCUUUUGUGGCUGGGAUUUGGAUGUGCUGCCGGCCGCCGUGAAAGGUGGGUUGGCUCGUCCUAAAAGCAUCAGUCGGACUUCCCACUGGCAAAGUCUGUUCUCACUCGGCGUGAUAAUCUCACCCGUCGAGGACGUACGAUUGGCCCGAGGGAGUGGGUUCGGCUUCCAACCGUCCUUGGACAAAAACCUUUGGCAUCUGACCUCAAAUCGGGUAGGACUACCCGCUGAACUUAA
This 307-nucleotide unclassified non-coding RNA is filed under the name uncultured fungus. RNAcentral's name for it is "partial contains 5.8S ribosomal RNA, internal transcribed spacer 2, and large subunit ribosomal RNA". Lineage: Eukaryota; Fungi. The record is from RNAcentral.